This 658-nucleotide long non-coding RNA is filed under the name Coturnix japonica (Japanese quail). RNAcentral's name for it is "lncRNA (ENSCJPG00005003640.1)". Lineage: Eukaryota; Metazoa; Chordata; Aves; Galliformes; Phasianidae. The record is from RNAcentral.
GAACUGGAAACCAGAAUAUUUUGUUGUGAAAAAUGGUGUGAAAUUUACCUUCUUCCACCAUUGCUCCUGACUUAUCUCCAUUUUUGGUUGCAGACUUCCUUCUCCUCCAAGCUCCUCAUGCUGAGUCAAAAUAAACAGUACAGAAUACAAAUGAUGAGACCAAACUGCAGCAACAGAUUCAAUCUGUGGAUCAGGAAAGUCACAAAGAGCAUCACGAAGGAUAUGUGCAUGAGAGGAAGAAGAAUUCUUUUGGGCAGAUAUCAAGACUAGCAAGCCAGUCUGCAUGAAGCCAGGCUUAUCCCUCUAUGUGCAAGAUCUGAGGCAUACACUGGAAGGGCCUUGGGGCACUGUGACUCACACAGCAUGCUUUUACAAUUCUGUUGCCUUAGAAGAACUGUGGUUAAAGUAGGAAAUUCCCAAUACCACUAGGGAGCCAAAUUGCAAAUUAUUUCUGAAAGGUAGGUCAUCUUUGACUCUUUUCUCAAAUCACACUCCCAGCUGUUUCCUACCCUCUGCUGGCAGCCCCUGCCAUCUUGUGUACUUCUGUCCCUUCAUCUCUGCCUUUACAGCUUGUAAUCACAGUCAGUAUCACCCCUCCUUGCGUACACAGUAAAAAUAUAUGCCACAGAAUAAAGUGUGCUAACUUCUUUCUCUUGCA